RNAcentral lists this ribosomal RNA (237 nucleotides) under uncultured bacterium. Its description in RNAcentral is "partial 16S ribosomal RNA". It matches the Rfam family "Bacterial small subunit ribosomal RNA", at positions 1264 to 1500 of the family's 1533-position model. The record is from RNAcentral.
UUAGCAAAUCUCUUAAAGCCGUUCUCAGUUCGGAUUGUAGGCUGCAACUCGCCUACAUGAAGUCGGAAUCGCUAGUAAUCGCGGAUCAGCAUGCCGCGGUGAAUACGUUCCCGGGCCUUGUACACACCGCCCGUCACACCAUGAGAGUUUGUAACGCCCAAAGCCGGUGGGGUAACCUUUUGGAGCCAGCCGUCUAAGGUGGGACAGAUGAUUGGGGUGAAGUCGUAACAAGGUACC